GGUGAAGUGUUCGGAUUGGCAGCUUAGGGUGGCAACACCUCAGGUCUGCCGAGAAGUUCAUUAAACCCUCCCACCUAGAGGAAGGAGAAGUCGUAACAAGGUUUCCGUAGGUGAACCUGCGGAAGGAUCAUUGA
This 134-nucleotide ribosomal RNA is filed under the name Pectinodesmus pectinatus. RNAcentral describes it as "partial 18S ribosomal RNA". It matches the Rfam family "Eukaryotic small subunit ribosomal RNA", at positions 1700 to 1831 of the family's 1831-position model. Lineage: Eukaryota; Viridiplantae; Chlorophyta; Chlorophyceae; Sphaeropleales; Scenedesmaceae. The record is from RNAcentral.